This 617-nucleotide ribosomal RNA is filed under the name Pluteus rugosidiscus. Its description in RNAcentral is "LSU rRNA". It matches the Rfam family "Eukaryotic large subunit ribosomal RNA", at positions 52 to 654 of the family's 3401-position model. The record is from RNAcentral. Lineage: Eukaryota; Fungi; Basidiomycota; Agaricomycetes; Agaricales; Pluteaceae.
GGAGGAAAAGAAACUAACAAGGAUUCCCCUAGUAACUGCGAGUGAAGCGGGAAGAGCUCAAAUUUAAAAUCUGGCGGUCUCUGACUGUCCGAGUUGUAAACUAGAGAAGUGUUAUCCGCGCUGGACCAUGUAUAAGUCUCCUGGAACGGAGCGUCACAGAGGGUGAGAAUCCCGUCUUUGACAUGGGCUGCCAGGGCAUUGUGAUGCGCUCUCAAAGAGUCGAGUUGUUUGGGAAUGCAGCUCAAAAUGGGUGGUAAAUUCCAUCUAAAGCUAAAUAUUGGCGAGAGACCGAUAGCGAACAAGUACCGUGAGGGAAAGAUGAAAAGAACUUUGGAAAGAGAGUUAAACAGUACGUGAAAUUGUUGAAAGGGAAACGCUUGAAGUCAGUCGCAUUGGCUGGGGAUCAACCUUGCAUUGUGAGGUGUACUCUCUAGUCAGUGGGUCAGCAUCAAUUUUGACCGCUGGAAAAGGGUUGGAGGAAUGUGGCAUCUCUGGAUGUGUUAUAGCCUCUGGUCAUAUACAGUGGUUGGGAUUGAGGAACUCAGCACGCCGCAAGGCCGGGUAUCUACCACGUUCGUGCUUAGGAUGCUGGCAUAAUGGCUUUAAUCGACCCGUCU